This 256-nucleotide non-coding RNA is filed under the name Clostridium cadaveris. RNAcentral describes it as "T-box sequence". It matches the Rfam family "T-box leader". Rfam says of the family: Uncharged tRNA acts as the effector for transcription antitermination of genes in the T-box leader family. T-boxes are found upstream of many aminoacyl-tRNA synthetase genes and some amino acid biosynthetic genes usually in Gram-positive bacteria. The record is from RNAcentral. Lineage: Bacteria; Bacillati; Bacillota; Clostridia; Eubacteriales; Clostridiaceae.
GCUAAUCCGUUAUAACAAGGAAGAGUAGUUAAAUUCAGCUUCAACAAAGAGAGCUUAGGGGUGGUGAGAUCCUAGCAAGAAGAAAUUUAAUGAAUGGACCUUGAAGGAAUAAAACGAAAUCUAUUUUUUAGAGAGUAGCAGUUAUGGCAAUCCCAGCCUUAUAGGGGAUAGAGUAUGUUAGUACUUGAAAUUGAGAGGUGCUUUUUUAUUUAAGCACAAUUUAGGUGGCAACGCGGAAGUUUCAUCCGUCCUAUGU